Molecule: ribosomal RNA, 497 nt
Filed under: uncultured bacterium
Lineage: Bacteria
Description: partial 16S ribosomal RNA
Rfam family: Bacterial small subunit ribosomal RNA
Source: RNAcentral
GAUGAACGCUGGCGGCGUGCCUAAUACAUGCAAGUCGAGCGAACAGACGAGGAGCUUGCUCCUCUGACGUUAGCGGCGGACGGGUGAGUAACACGUGGAUAACCGACCUAUAAGACUGGGAUAACUUCGGGAAACCGGAGCUAAUACCGGAUAAUAUAUUGAACCGCAUGGUUCAAUAGUGAAAGACGGUUUUGCUGUGACUUAGAGAUGGAUCCGCGCCGCAUUAGCUAGUUGGUAAGGUAACGGCUUACCAAGGCAACGAUGCGUAGCCGACCUGAGAGGGUGAUCGGCCACACUGGAACUGAGACACGGUCCAGACUCCUACGGGAGGCAGCAGUAGGGAAUCUUCCGCAAUGGGCGAAAGCCUGACGGAGCAACGCCGCGUGAGUGAUGAAGGUCUUCGGAUCGUAAAACUCUGUUAUUAGGGAAGAACAAAUGUGUAAGUAAAUAUGCACGUCUUGACGGUACCUAAUCAGAAAGCCACGGCUAACUACGUG